This 253-nucleotide ribosomal RNA is filed under the name uncultured bacterium. RNAcentral's name for it is "partial 16S ribosomal RNA". It matches the Rfam family "Bacterial small subunit ribosomal RNA", at positions 524 to 776 of the family's 1533-position model. The record is from RNAcentral.
UACGUAGGGUGCAGGCGUUAAUCGGAAUUACUGGGCGUAAAGCGUGCGCAGGCGGUUUGCUAAGACAGGUGUGAAAUCCCCGGGCUUAACCUGGGAACUGCGCUUGUAACUGGCAAGCUAGAGUGUGGCAGAGGGGGGUGGAAUUCCACGUGUAGCAGUGAAAUGCGUAGAGAUGUGGAGGAACACCGAUGGCGAAGGCAGCCUUCUGGGCCAACACUGACGCUCAUGCACGAAAGCGUGGGGAGCAAACAGG